GAUGAAGAACGCAGCGAAAUGCGAUAAGUAAUGUGAAUUGCAGAAUUCAGUGAAUCAUCGAAUUUUUGAACGCACAUUGCGCCCGCCAGUAUUCUGGCGGGCAUGCCUGUUCGAGCGUCAUUUCAACCAUCAAGCCCCAGGCUUGUGUUGGGGACCUGCGGCUGCCGCAGGCCCUGAAAACCAGUGGCGGGCUCGCUGUCACACCGGGCGUAGUAGAUUUUAUCUCGCUCAGGGCGUGCUGCGGGUUCCGGCCGUUAAAAAGCCUUUUUUACCCAAGGUUGACCUCGGAUCAGGUAGGAAGACCCGCUGAACUUAAGCAUAUCAAUAAGCGGAGGA
This 336-nucleotide unclassified non-coding RNA is filed under the name soil metagenome. RNAcentral describes it as "partial contains 5.8S ribosomal RNA, internal transcribed spacer 2, and large subunit ribosomal RNA". The stretch from base 1 to 120 matches the Rfam family "5.8S ribosomal RNA", at positions 35 to 154 of the family's 154-position model. The record is from RNAcentral.